RNAcentral lists this long non-coding RNA (887 nucleotides) under Numida meleagris (helmeted guineafowl). RNAcentral's name for it is "lncRNA (ENSNMEG00000016812.1)". Lineage: Eukaryota; Metazoa; Chordata; Aves; Galliformes; Numididae. The record is from RNAcentral.
AAAUAAUGCCAAGUUGCUCUUACCUGGCAAGUGGAUGGGAUUGACAAAUAAUGGCAAUUUGAUGUGCUUUCUAGAAGAUCUGAAGUUUGGAAAGCUUAACUUCCUCAAUCUGUUCUGAUGAAAUAUCUCUCCACUGGCUGUUCUCAAUUGCUAUGGAAAGGUUAAGAAAGGUCUUUUAGGGAGAAGAUUGUCUGGAGAAGUCACGUUGCUGUUGAAAACUGAAGAAUUUGACUUGAUCCACCCUGCCGAGGAUCUUCGGGCCAGUCCUGAUUUGCCCUCACUGUACUCAUGCCUGCUUCUUUAUUCAUGGUAUGAAUUUUGUAAGUAACAGGCAUAUUGUGAAAAAGGAGUUGCUGGAGAAGGGUCCUUUGCUUUUUUUUCUGCAAUCACUGCUGAAGAUGGCUCUGAACUUUGAAUGUAGCUUCAGAAAAGAACUUCACAAAAAUUAUAGGAAGUUCCCAAACACCUGAUGCUUAAGAAAGAAUGCUGUGCAACUACUGCUGAGAUCUAAAAGGCAAGCCAAGAUCCCAGAUCAAAUCCCAGAUAUGAGUACUACCUUCUUGCCAAGUAUGAAAUUCUAUACUGUGGUGGCAAUAUUUCUAAUCAAGAAAUGUUGGACUAAAGAAGCAUCUCCCAUAUACUAUGUGAAUGUUGAAGAUGAUAACGUGUUAGAGCAGCAGGGUGCAGGAGUGCAGUUCAUCAAAGCCAUUGUAUUGAUGCUGAUGUGUAAACUGCCUGGCAUGGGAUACCGCGGAGUAACAAAGGCAAAUGCUUCAAAAACUGCCUCUCCUGCCUCCAUCAAUGUUUGCUGAGGAAAUCUGCAUUCAGAAGGAUGUUUGUGAGAAGAAAACAUGAUAUGUGGGUUUACAUGAGUGUUUGAAUUAAAA